GAGGGUAUAGCUCAAUGGUACAGCUCAUGCUUGGCAUGCACGAGGUCCUGGGCUCAAUCCCCAGUACCUCCA
This 72-nucleotide transfer RNA is filed under the name Camelus bactrianus (Bactrian camel). It matches the Rfam family "tRNA". Rfam says of the family: Transfer RNA (tRNA) molecules are approximately 80 nucleotides in length. Their secondary structure includes four short double-helical elements and three loops (D, anti-codon, and T loops). Further hydrogen bonds mediate the characteristic L-shaped molecular structure. tRNAs have two regions of fundamental functional importance: the anti-codon, which is responsible for specific mRNA codon recognition, and the 3' end, to which the tRNAs corresponding amino acid is attached (by aminoacyl-tRNA synthetases). tRNAs cope with the degeneracy of the genetic code in two manners: having more than one tRNA (with a specific anti-codon) for a particular amino acid; and 'wobble' base-pairing, i.e. permitting non-standard base-pairing at the 3rd anti-codon position. Lineage: Eukaryota; Metazoa; Chordata; Mammalia; Artiodactyla; Camelidae. RNAcentral also lists the same sequence under 3 other names. The record is from Rfam by way of RNAcentral.